GAUGAACGUUGGCGGCGUGCCUAAUACAUGCAAGUCGAACGGAGAUUGUAGCAAUACGGUCUCAGUGGCGAACGGGUGAGUAACGCGUUGGUGACCUGCCCCGAAGUGUGGAAUAACAGAUCGAAAGAGCUGCUAAUACCGCAUAAUAUCCAGGAGAUUAGAUGCUUCUGGAUUAAAGGAUUUAUCCGCUUCGGGAGGGGCCUGCGUCCCAUCAGCUAGUUGGUAAGGUAAAGGCUUACCAAGGCGAUGACGGGUAGGGGACCUGAGAGGGUGGCCCCCCACAAUGGAACUGAAACACGGUCCAUACACCUACGGGUGGCAGCAGUAGGGAAUAUUAGUAAUGGGCGAAAGCCUGAACUAGCAACGCCGCGUGUGCGAAGAAGGCCUUCGGGUUGUAAAGCACUUUUUGAGAGGAUGAGGAAGGACGGUACUCUCAGAAUAAGUCUCGGCUAACUACGUGCCAGCAGCCGGGUAAACUAGUCUACG
Molecule: ribosomal RNA, 486 nt
Filed under: uncultured bacterium
Lineage: Bacteria
Description: bacterial SSU rRNA
Rfam family: Bacterial small subunit ribosomal RNA
Source: RNAcentral